GUGCUCACUUCAGUAGCACAUAUACUACAAUGGGAACAAUACAGAGAUUAGCAUGGCCCUGUGCAAGGAUGACAUGCAAAUUCUGAAUGCAGUCCAUAUUUUU
Neomonachus schauinslandi (Hawaiian monk seal) is the source of this 103-nucleotide small nuclear RNA. Lineage: Eukaryota; Metazoa; Chordata; Mammalia; Carnivora; Phocidae. The record is from RefSeq and is a predicted model, not a curated record.